GUGAGGAAUUUUCCGCAAUGGGCGAAAGCCUGACGGAGCAAUGCCGCGUGAAGGAUGAAGGCCUAUGGGUUGUAAACUUCUUUUCUCAGAAAAGAAUUAUGACGGUAUCUGAGGAAUAAGCAUCGGCUAACUCUGUGCCAGCAGCCGCGGUAAGACAGAGGAUGCAAGCGUUAUCCGGAAUGAUUGGGCGUAAAGCGUCUGUAGGUUGUUUAAAAAGUAUUCUGUCAAAGAUUAGGGCUUAACCCUAGAUAGGCAGAAUAAACUUUUAAGCUAGAGUUUUGUAGAGGCAGAGGGAAUUCCCGGUGGAGCGGUGAAAUGCGUAGAUAUCGGGAGGAACACCAAAGGCGAAGGCACUCUGCUGGGCCAAUACUAACACUGAGAGACGAAAGCGAGGGGAGCAAAUGGGAUUAGAUACCCCGGUAGUCC
This 426-nucleotide ribosomal RNA is filed under the name uncultured bacterium. RNAcentral describes it as "bacterial SSU rRNA". It matches the Rfam family "Bacterial small subunit ribosomal RNA", at positions 354 to 796 of the family's 1533-position model. The record is from RNAcentral.